AACGAACGCUGGCGGCAUGCCUAACACAUGCAAGUCGAACGAAGUCUUCGGACUUAGUGGCGCACGCGUGCGUCACGCGUGGGAAUCUGCCCUUGGGUACGGAAUUACUCAGUGAAAUUUGUGCUAAUACCGUAUAAUGUCUUCGGACCAAAGAUUUAUCGCCCAAGGAUGAGCCCGCGUAAGUUUAGCUAGUUGGUGGGGUAAAAGCCUACCAAGGCGACGAUCUUUAGCUGGUCUGAGAGGAUGAUCAGCCACACUGGGACUGAGACACGGCCCAGACUCCUACGGGAGGCAGCAGUGGGGAAUAUUGGACAAUGGGCGAAAGCCUGAUCCAGCAAUGCCGCGUGAGUGAUGAAGGCCCUAGGGUUGUAAAGCUCUUUUACCAGGGAUGAUAAUGACAGUACCUGGAGAAUAAGCUCCGGCUAACUCCGUG
RNAcentral lists this ribosomal RNA (433 nucleotides) under uncultured bacterium. Its description in RNAcentral is "partial 16S ribosomal RNA". It matches the Rfam family "Bacterial small subunit ribosomal RNA", at positions 29 to 507 of the family's 1533-position model. The record is from RNAcentral.